CGGGGCGUGGCGCAGGGGUAGCGCGUCUGAAAAAGCAGCAGUUUUGCCAAUCAGGAGGUCGUUGGUUCGAAUCCAGCCGUCCCGACAA
Molecule: transfer RNA, 88 nt
Rfam family: tRNA
About the family: Transfer RNA (tRNA) molecules are approximately 80 nucleotides in length. Their secondary structure includes four short double-helical elements and three loops (D, anti-codon, and T loops).